RNAcentral lists this ribosomal RNA (399 nucleotides) under Spermophagus takuensis. RNAcentral describes it as "partial 12S ribosomal RNA". The record is from RNAcentral. Lineage: Eukaryota; Metazoa; Arthropoda; Insecta; Coleoptera; Chrysomelidae.
UAAACUAGGAUUAGAUACCCUAUUAUUUUAAAUGUAAAUUUUAAAUGCUAAAUUAGUAGUAGAUAUGUUCUUUAAAAUUAAAAAAUUUGGCGGUAUUUUAGUCUUUUCAGAGGAACCUGUCCUGUAAUUGAUAGUCCACGAUAAAGUGUACUUUAUUUAUUAGUUUAUAUAUCGUCGUAGUUAGAAUAUUUUAUAAGAAUAUUAAUAUUCUAAAUUUUUUAUUAAAAAAUAAAUCAGAUCAAGAUGUAGUUUAUAAUAAAGGAGAGAUGGGUUACAUUAAAUUUAUUUAAGGAUAAUUUUUAGGAUAAAUAAUUUGAAUAUGGAUUUGAAAGUAAUUUUAUUAAGUUUAUUAAAAUGAUUUUAGCUCUAGAAUAUGUACACAUCGCCCGUCGCUCUUAA